This is an RNA transcript of Zingiber officinale, 1251 nucleotides long. It is a transcript of the gene named single-stranded DNA-binding protein WHY1, chloroplastic-like, with no coding region annotated. The record is from RefSeq and is a predicted model, not a curated record. The transcript has 7 exons. NCBI's taxonomy places the organism in Eukaryota, Viridiplantae, Streptophyta, Magnoliopsida, Zingiberales, Zingiberaceae.
ACUAGAUCAAGCGAGCGUAACAACAGCAUCUUGUUCACAGGGGCCGACUGAAACGGCCGCAGCUCCACUCUUAGCCGACGCGCGUUCAAAGCGAUGCAUUCCCCAUCUUCUUCUCGCGCUAUCCAUAAUUAUUGCGCUUCCCCUUCUCCCUUCCGCUCCUCGUCUGCUUCCCUCGUAAGCAGUUCACUCUGCGCUCCUCCCAGAACCCUAGCCCUUAACUAUCGACGGAAAUAUCUAUCCGUUCGUGGCCACCGCUCCGAUUUCUCAGACCAGCGCCGCCAAAUUGGUCGCCCUCCUUCGCCGCCGCCUGAGGAACCUACCUCUUUCUCCCGGAAGCCUCCUGGAGCGCUGAAUUCGAAGGUCUUCGUCGGUUAUUCCAUUUACAAAGGGAAGGCGGCACUCACCGUGGAACCGCGAGCGCCUGAAUUCGCUCCUCUUGACUCAGGGGCUUAUAAGGUCUCUAAGGAAGGAUUUAUGCUCCUCCAAUUUGCUCCUGCUGUGGGAAAUCGGCAAUACGAUUGGAGCAGAAAGCAAGUGUUUUCUUUAUCCAUACCUGAAAUUGGUCAUCUAAUGAGUCUCGGAGCAAAGGAUUCUUGUGAAUUUUUUCAUGAUCCAUUCAAGGGAAGAAAUGAGGAAGGCAAGAUAAGAAAGGUUUUAAAGGUUGAACCUCUUCCAGAUGGCACCGGAUAUUUCUUUAAUCUCAGUAAUUUCCCCACAUUUUUAAUGUGUUCAAAAUCGCCUGUUGAAUAUGGAUGAUAGCAUAUACAUACCAAUCAGCAAACCAGAAUUCACCAUUCUUAACUCUGCUUUAAAUUUUAUCAUUCCAUAUCUUCUGGGUUGGCAUUCCUUUGCUAAUGCUAUAAAACCGGAGAAUUCCUUCCGUUUAAACAAUGCGAGAUUCGGAGCUGAUUUUGAGUGGGGUAGAUGAUGAGAAAUCUCAAAAGAGAAAAGCUCUGAGUUUGUGGAUGCGAAUUCUGGGAAUUGCCAUGCCGCUGCUGUUUUUCUUUUAUAGUUUUUCAUUCUUUUUUUUAAGUGUAUUUUGCUGUUUGAACCAAGUUUGUAGCAUAGAUCACUAUGGAUUUGGUUCUGUAGCAAGAGAUGCUAAAUCUAAAGCUGUGUUUUGUAUCACGCAAAUUGAUGAAAACUCAGGUGUAUUCGGGGGUUAUUUAUCAGCUUUUUUCAUGUGACUAAGAAAAGGAGUGCAUUUUUUGUUUUAAAGAAAAAAACGAACACUUAUGUAAAUUGUUGUCA